This 116-nucleotide small nuclear RNA is filed under the name Zalophus californianus (California sea lion). Lineage: Eukaryota; Metazoa; Chordata; Mammalia; Carnivora; Otariidae. The record is from RNAcentral.
GUGCUCACUUUAGCAGCACAUAUACUAAAACUGGAACGAUACAGAGAUGUUUAGCAUGGCCCCUGUGUAAGGAUGACACACAGAUUUGUCAAAUUCGUGAAGAAUCCCAUUUUUUU